CAGUAGCCGCGGGAAUACGAGGGGGGCAAGCGUUGUUCGGAAUUAUUGGGCGUAAAGGGGGCGUAGGCGGUUUGGCAAGUUUGGUGUGAAAUCUUCGGGCUCAACUCGAAGUCUGCAUCGAAAACUGCCGGGCUUGAGUAUGGGAGAGGUGAGUGGAAUUUCCGGUGUAGCGGUGAAAUGCGUAGAUAUCGGAAGGAACACCUGUGGCGAAAGCGGCUCACUGGACCAUAACUGACGCUGAUGCACGAAAGCUAGGGGAGCAAACAGGAUUAGAUACCCCAGUAGUCCCUGUCUCUUAUAC
Molecule: ribosomal RNA, 301 nt
Filed under: uncultured bacterium
Lineage: Bacteria
Description: partial 16S ribosomal RNA
Rfam family: Bacterial small subunit ribosomal RNA
Source: RNAcentral